RNAcentral lists this small nucleolar RNA (138 nucleotides) under Ornithorhynchus anatinus (platypus). The record is from RNAcentral. Lineage: Eukaryota; Metazoa; Chordata; Mammalia; Monotremata; Ornithorhynchidae.
UCCCUCUCAGGGUUGCACCUGUAGAGUUUCCACUACUCUACCAGUCUCUAUUAUGGGAGGGAGAGUGAAGCAGAGACAUAUCCAUUCCAUUCCUACCUUGGCCAGUGGCUAGCAAGUGGAAGGCAAUCUGCUACAAGU